GAUGAAGAACGCAGUGAAAUGCGAUAAGUAGUGUGAAUUGCAGAAUUCAGUGAAUCAUCGAAUCUUUGAACGCACAUUGCGCCCCUUGGUAUUCCAUGGGGCAUGCCUGUUCGAGCGUCAUUUGUACCUUCAAGCUUUGCUUGGUGUUGGGUGUUUGUCCCGAGGGACUCGCCUUAAAGUAAUUGGCAGCCAGUGUUUGGUUUUGAAGCGCAGCACAAGUCGCGAUUCAAGGCUACACGCCCGCUUCCACAAGCCUUUUUUCACUUUUGACCUCGGAUCAGGUAGGGAUACCCGCUGAACUUAAGCAUAUCAAUAAGCGGAGGA
This 324-nucleotide unclassified non-coding RNA is filed under the name soil metagenome. RNAcentral describes it as "partial contains 5.8S ribosomal RNA, internal transcribed spacer 2, and large subunit ribosomal RNA". The stretch from base 1 to 120 matches the Rfam family "5.8S ribosomal RNA", at positions 35 to 154 of the family's 154-position model. The record is from RNAcentral.